GUGGAUUAGAUACCCUAGUAGUCCACACUGUAAACGAUGAUAACUAGCUGUCGGCGAUAGACCGUCGGUGGCCAAGCGAAAGCGAUAAGUUAUCCACCUGGGGAGUACGACCGCAAGGUUGAAACUCAAAGGAAUUGACGGGGGCCCGCACAAGCGGAGGAACAUGUGGUUUAAUUCGAUGAUACGCGAGGAACCUUACCCGGGCUCGAACGGUGCAGUAAUAUGGUAGAGAUAUCAUAGCUAGCAAUAGACUGUAUCGAGGUGCUGCAUGGUUGUCGCCAGCU
Molecule: ribosomal RNA, 284 nt
Filed under: uncultured bacterium
Lineage: Bacteria
Description: partial 16S ribosomal RNA
Rfam family: Bacterial small subunit ribosomal RNA
Source: RNAcentral